UGGACCUCCUGCUGCUUUGCUUUGGGCCAUUUAUGCCUAACAAAUUGACUGAUUUAUGCCAAUUGCUAGUAAACUACAAGGACUAGGAAUGAGUAGAGCUUGGGAUUACGCAGACUACUUGAGUAUCUGCUCACCCUAGGAUUAGCUAAAAUUUUGAUAUAUCCAAUUUUGCCUCAUGUUAACAGUCCCGGCGGCGGUUGUCAGCUGUAGUUCAGAAGGUGUGGCAUGGGAACAGCGACAUAUUAAUAGAUCAAGCUAGCUAUGGGGUGAUUGACAGCAGUAGUGCUUUGGGUGCUAACAGUUGGGGGUGAAAACGAGGUCCACUGCAGUUCAAAUUUUAGCUACCAUUAACAUUAAAGUACUCAUAUAGACACAUGCUCCCUAGAUACCUCCAUCUUUGUGGAUUAUGUUUUAGUUUCACUGAAGUUAUGUUGCAAGAUAUAACACAGAUGUUUGCCUAGGUACCUAAGAAGAAAUAAUCAAUAGGAUGAUAGCAGAUACUUGGUAGUUCGUGUGAUCUUUUCGUUUUAUGAAACACUUCAUAAAAAUCCUAGGUUAUGGCUACCAAAAUUCUAAUUUGUGAGUAGGGCACGCUUAGUUUGCUUCCACAAAAAGCAGCCUGACUCAGGCAGGGAUCUCAGGCGUCCGAAUUCCGAUCAAUUCCGGCAGCCUCCGUCGCCAUCCAACACCUCCCCUUGCUUCCGCGCCUCCACUCUAUUAGGGACUCUGGAGUAGGAGGGGCGGCCAUGGCGCUCGCAUUAGUCUCCAGCAGCGGCGGCGGGAGCGACUUCUCCGUGAUGGUGAUAGGGUCCGACUUCGUGGUGGACGCUGGCGCGGCGCUCCUCGUCUACCCCGCCGACCGUGGGGAGUGGCACGACUGCAUUCCGGACCUCGGUGAUGACUUCUCCAACCUCGAGGAGCUCCAGGUCGUCCACGUGCUGGGCGCGGACAGAUCCGGCCAGGCUGUCGUCAGCAAGUUGGACAACCAGAAUUGUUGUGCUUAUAAGUUUUGUGACAUUGAUUAGUGUUCCAGUUUCAUCUAAUUUUGCACAUGUCGAGAGAUGUAAGUCAAGUACUGAAAGGAUGGACAUUCUGUUAUAAUAACAAAGAUAAUCGUUGCAUGUAACUAGUAACUACUGCAGUGGCUUGACCAAUUCCAACUACACGGAACUUACGAUAAGUACAAGGACCAGGGCAUGAUCUAUCUGCAUAUGAUUAGCCCUUGAUUUUGAGUUAUGAUAUGUUAUGCUAACAAUUUUAUCUGACUACAGGUUUUGAGAUCUUUGCUUUCCCAUGCAACCAGUUUGGUGGGCCAGAACUUGGCAUUGAUAAGGAAAUUAUUCAGAUUGCUUGCACUCGUUUCAAUGCCGAAUAUCUGAUUUUUUUUACAAGGGUUCUGUUGGCGACGCUGACGGUCGUCGAAAGGUUUGUGGACUCAACGGUGUCGUGGCACCGUCCACGGUGUCGUGGCACCGUCCACGGUGUCGUGGCAGCCGGUGCACGAAGAAGCAAAGCUGUUGCACGUCAUCUACCUCUGGCACCCCAGACACAGGGUGCGGGGCACUUGUACGAUGGCUUCCUCCGUCCGCUGGUGGCGAGGCACGAGGACGACCUCGACCGGGGCCUGCUGGAGACGUGGCGGCGGUUGCCGUCGGUCAGAUGUGGCUCGUCGAGGCUACCCCUUGUGCUUCACCGCAGCUGCAGGCCGCGAGAUCAGGCCGGGCAGGUGCCGCAUAUUGACGAGUGAUCCAAUUUUCGGAUCGGACCAUAACAACUUAAGUAGGUUGCUGCUUACCAAGUUGCUACGCACAAUACUGUGUAAUAGGAAUUAUACAUGGGUUGCCGCUACAAUGAGAAACUGUGAAUAGAUACGGCAAAUGUGUGAUAGAAUGGAAUUGGCUGAUUUUUUUUAAUUCA
This is a non-coding RNA of Aegilops tauschii subsp. strangulata, 1917 nucleotides long. Lineage: Eukaryota; Viridiplantae; Streptophyta; Magnoliopsida; Poales; Poaceae. The record is from RefSeq and is a predicted model, not a curated record.